Molecule: long non-coding RNA, 2489 nt
Filed under: Setaria italica (foxtail millet)
Lineage: Eukaryota; Viridiplantae; Streptophyta; Magnoliopsida; Poales; Poaceae
Description: long non-coding RNA (SITA_LNC006966)
Source: RNAcentral
GCCCCGUUUUGCGAAUCUUGAGGUAGCACACGUUUGUCAGUGCCAAAAACUGCAGCGGAUCGUAGUAGGAUCGAGCUGCGCGUAAGAAUUGAAGCAACAAGCCUGUGUGGUGACUAGUCGAUUACUCGAUCUGCUCUAUCACAAGCUGUUUUUAGCCGCUCUGAUGAAACGAGUUCAGGCAAAGCUUCCAAAUGCAUGGCAACUUGUACAAUCACGGAAUGCGUGCUAUAUUGUUUAGUGAUAGCUGAUCAGUUACGAUGAUACGUGGGUGUAGCUAGCUAGUCGAUGGAUCCCAACCAAUAACCAGAUAUCCGGAUGACGGCAGCUGAUGUGUACCAGAUGUACCUGCUGCAAAUGAGCGAGGGUCAGAGCAGCUGGGACGCACUCGAGCAAUGGUCACAGAAGCUAGCCAGUGCUUGGUUUAGGAAUGUUUGGAUACACCUGCUAAAGUUAGUUUAGUAUCUGUCACAUCAUAUGUUUGGAUACUAAUUAGAAGAAUUAAACAUAGACUAAUUACAAAAUUAAUUGCACAUAUGGAGUCUAAUUCACGAGACGAAUUUAUUAAACCUAAUUAGUCCAUGAUUUGACAAUGUGGUGCUACAGUAACCAUUUGCUAAUGAUGGAUUAAUAAGGCUUAAUAGAUUCGUCUCGCGAAUCAGCUCGAGGUUCUGCAAUUAGUUUUAUAAUUAGCUCAUGUUUAGUCCUCCUAAUUAGCAUCCGAACAUUCAAUAUGACACUGCUAAAGUUUAGCAUCUAAUAUCCAAACACCCCCCUUAAUUGGGAAGAAAUAGGCAUCAAUUUACUCUUAAUUGGAUCGCAAACCAGGAUGCCGACUCUGUCCUCUCCGUCCAACCGGGUCAGCCAGCUAUGUUCGAUUGCUUGAGCUACUUUGCAGCGGUAGCGGCUGCAGCUGCAAGUCCAAGCAGCAGCCGUUCGGCUGCAACGUCCAGAAAAGUUAUUUUUCCACUCUCGUUUCCAUUAGCUAUUCCCAUUAUGUUAUUUUUUUAGUGGUUGCAGCAAUUGAACACGCUUGUGUGGUUGCAGCAGAGGUUCUUGACCGGCUGUAGCUGCAGCACAGUCGCAGCCUCACAGCACUGCAGAAAAGCACAAGCGAAGCGAUCAAUAUGGAUCGUCGGAGCUACUCUACUUGGACGAACAACACACUUGACUUGGGCGACUUGGACCCUGGGUCCCGGUCGACCGGAAAACUAGUAACCUAUCAAGACCAGAAAACUAGUAACCUAUCAAGUUGUCUGCUACCUACUUUUUUUUUGAUAAAAGCAAAGGAGCAGAGCAAGCAAAGUCGCCGGCGGCGACGACAAGCAGCAAAGCCAAGUGGUUGGGCUGCUAGAGGCGCCACAAACACAUGGAGGCAAAGUGGAGGAACCACGCCAAGCGACGGUUCAAAGUGGAUGAGGUAGCCGACGAUGUCCAUCUUCUCUGACGAACCAAAGAUUUGGUUAAAGCGAUCGUCGGAGCUUUCUUGAACGACAACCUCAAAGCCGAUGGAAGGCGUGCUGCUGCAACAGAGACGACGAGGUCGCAAGCUAGUUGUAGUUGAGCUUGGGGCUGCCUCGGGGUGGGCGGCAUGAAGUCGAAGGCGACGGCGAGCAUCGAGGCUAAGCCUGCUGGAGCAACGCCGAUGACUGAGCAAACUGAAGCAGAGACGCACGUACCAACGAUGAUAGCAGCCGAAAUCGCCUCCAGCACAGCCGAAUCAAAGGUGGAGGAGAGUGGAUCCAAGCGGCGGCGGGUGGAUGGAGUGGAAGCUGAAUCCAUGCAGCGAGGGGGAUUUAUUUCAUUCCGCACCUGUGGACCACCAGUGAUGAGGGAAGCACCGGCAUGGAGCUCACCAUGGAUGGCGAGGAACACAACGACGGUGACAGGGAUGCGGCUUCGGAGAGGGAGAGGAAGAAUCUCCAACCGAAGAAACAUGCUAAGAAAAGAUAUAUACACGGGUGGCGGGGGUCGGCCCACCUCCCUCUUGUCGCUGGCAGUGCCAGUAGAGGAGAAGAAGGAGGCUGGAAGUGGCGAGAUGUAGAAAGCUACAGUAGAGAGCGGAAGGGAUAGGGAUGAAGAGCUUUGCUCUAUUCUUGUGGAAACCGCUUUGAUGCAUACUUGUGCGGAAAUCGCCGGAGUUGAGUACCGACCAGCUCGACCUGCCGGUGUGGUUGGCACGUCAACGUGGCUCACCUGUUGGUCCUGGCUUGUGCCGGCCAAUGCUGUGGUGUGGCCGUGUGGGCUGCCACCAUCACCUUUUCUUCGCCCAGCGGGCCACCACUCGAGGCUACAAUACCGUGCCGCGGCACCUCCACUUAUCACAUUUCCUUCUCCCUCCACACAAACUGCUACAGUACUGCGUGCUGGAGUUGGGAGUGGACCUGCUCCCUCCGGUCGGAUUUCAGAUCGAAAGCGGAUGGAAGGAACGCUUUGAUCAGGGCACGUUUAUAGUACAUGAAUUUAGUGAACCUAAGCAUAUCAAGUAAUUA